Long non-coding RNA from Syngnathus typhle (broad-nosed pipefish), 869 nucleotides. RefSeq lists it as uncharacterized. The record is from RefSeq and is a predicted model, not a curated record. The transcript is spliced from 5 exons. NCBI's taxonomy places the organism in Eukaryota, Metazoa, Chordata, Actinopteri, Syngnathiformes, Syngnathidae.
CAUUUCGUGAGACAAAUGCUAUGAAUACAUAAAAAAACUUUGAACAAUUCAACGCUAAAAUAGCUGAAUGGUUUAUGACUUGGGUUGGUACCCAGCAGCCUCGGGUUCGAGACUUGCUCUUUGCAGCUUUUGCAAAUUAAAUAGAGCGAAACAUAAGAUUCGAACCAGCCUCUCCUGAACCAAAGGUAAAAGCCUGAACCAUUCGGCCAUUCGAGAUCUUACUAAAGACGGUCAAAUGUUUGUAAUUGAAGGUUAUUCUGAACUUUUCCUGAAGAUACCUUCAUGAUGUGGGAUAAUACAAAAAAUUCCGUCAUUAAUUUUCAACGGACAAUGGUCGAGGGGAUAACACCAUAGCCUCUGAAGUUCGCAGUGCUGGUUCGAGACCUGAACCCUCUAAAAAUUUGUCUUUGCAGUUUUUCUCGCGCAUUAGCACCUACUUGAAAGUUUUUUUUUCUUUUUUUUUUCGUCUUCUAAUGACGUCAUCACAAAAAGAGUAUAAAAGGCGUCAAGAACGCGACGCUCAUUCAUGCACUCACCACUGACAGCGAGAGCCACGUCGCUCCGGUCCACCUGCUGCGCCGGCCGUACAACAGCGUUUGAAAGUGACAAGCGUCAACUUGCACUUUGGGAGUGUUCCCAUCUUGCAAAAGUUUGCAGAAGCUAGCGUUAGCAGUUAACAUCUUCAACGACCACCAAAACGCAUUUAUCUGGCGUGCAACCAAACAAUUGAAGCAGUUAACGGUGGCAACGUCUGGACGACAGCGCCGUUUGGCCGAAGGUGCAAACCCUCAAAACGAGCCCGUCCGUCAUGGCCGACUGACUUUCUGCCUGCAUCUGGAACAGAGGAAGCCGAUUGACUGCGAAAUGGC